This is a small nucleolar RNA of Paramormyrops kingsleyae, 137 nucleotides long. NCBI's taxonomy places the organism in Eukaryota, Metazoa, Chordata, Actinopteri, Osteoglossiformes, Mormyridae. The record is from Ensembl.
AAGCACUUCCUUUAAACCUAUGGAGUCUUCACUGUGACUUCAUAGGCAAGCUGUUGUGCGAAAGCAAAACCGGCUUGUUAUAACUGGGGCUUCUUGGUAUAAUUUCCCAAGCUGCUCUUUUAAAGCAAGCCACAGCG